AUGAACGCUGGCGGCGUGCCUAAUACAUGCAAGUCGAGCGAACAGACGAGGAGCUUGCUCCUCUGACGUUAGCGGCGGACGGGUGAGUAACACGUGGAUAACCUACCUAUAAGACUGGGAUAACUUCGGGAAACCGGAGCUAAUACCGGAUAAUAUAUUGAACCGCAUGGUUCAAUAGUGAAAGACGGUUUUGCUGUCACUUAUAGAUGGAUCCGCGCCGCAUUAGCUAGUUGGUAAGGUAACGGCUUACCAAGGCAACGAUGCGUAGCCGACCUGAGAGGGUGAUCGGCCACACUGGAACUGAGACACGGUCCAGACUCCUACGGGAGGCAGCAGUAGGGAAUCUUCCGCAAUGGGCGAAAGCCUGACGGAGCAACGCCGCGUGAGUGAUGAAGGUCUUCGGAUCGUGAAACUCUGUUAUUAGGGAAGAACAAAUGAGUAAGUAACUAUGCACGUCUUGACGGUACCUAAUCAGAAAGCCACGGCUAACUACGUG
This 496-nucleotide ribosomal RNA is filed under the name uncultured bacterium. Its description in RNAcentral is "partial 16S ribosomal RNA". It matches the Rfam family "Bacterial small subunit ribosomal RNA", at positions 29 to 507 of the family's 1533-position model. The record is from RNAcentral.